Long non-coding RNA from Brassica oleracea var. oleracea, 382 nucleotides. RefSeq lists it as uncharacterized. The record is from RefSeq and is a predicted model, not a curated record. NCBI's taxonomy places the organism in Eukaryota, Viridiplantae, Streptophyta, Magnoliopsida, Brassicales, Brassicaceae. The transcript has 3 exons.
AGGUUUUAGUUAGUGAUUAACAUUCUGGCUCUCCUAGGUCCUAGAUCUUGUUCAUGGUUGUCAAACUCGUUUAUAACUUGGUAUGAUCUUGUUCCAGACAAGCAAGAAGGAAGAGGAUGUUGAAUCUGAUGGCCCACGCCUCAAUGAUAAGAUUACCUCCGAGACUGUAAGAUUGAUUUCCGAGGAAGGACACUGUAUUGUGACUCUGAAGGAAGCUCUCAGACGGGCAAAAGAGCUCAAGCAUGACUAAUUAGUUGAGGUCCAAAGAGAUGCUAAGCCACCAGUGUGUAAAAUUGUAGACUACGCACACUCACAUGACAAGUACAAAAAAGAUUAAGUAGGAAAGGAACGUGCUAAGGCCAAGGUCUGUUACAUGGUCUUG